GGGGGUGAUCUGGUUUCGACGGGUAGAGUGAGGAGUUGUCGGCGUGCCGGGGAUGUCUGGAGCCCCGUUAACAAACCGGGCAAACCAGUAAUUGGCGAAGCUAAUUACGCUCUGGCUGCCUAAGAUAGCGUAGCCCGUUCCCCCCGAACCGUUGUCUCCCGGGUCGGGACGGGAGCGACGCAAAAGGAGACUCGGCGACGCGUGGCCUCGGCGCGGCGCUUAAAGAUAUCGAGGCUGGCGACCGUUUGAGCCUGUCUGUCGGCGCGGGCGGUUGCAAGAAUCAAAAGAGAGACUACGCACGUAGAAGACGGCUUGGCGCUCUAUUCGGACGGGGGUUCGAUUCCCCCCACCUCCAUUU
Molecule: transfer-messenger RNA, 358 nt
Filed under: Candidatus Zixiibacteriota bacterium
Lineage: Bacteria; Pseudomonadati; Candidatus Zixiibacteriota
Description: candidate division Zixibacteria bacterium transfer-messenger RNA
Rfam family: transfer-messenger RNA
About the family: Bacterial tmRNA, also known as 10Sa RNA or SsrA, is named for its dual tRNA and mRNA-like properties.
Source: RNAcentral